GAUGAACGCUGGCAGCGUGCUUAACACAUGCAAGUCUUUGGCAAAGCCGUGCUUGCACAGCCUCGCCAGUGCGGACGGGUGGGUUACGCGUAAGGAACUUGCCCUGCAGUCAGGGAUUACAGACGGAAACGACUGAUAAGACCUGGUAAAGUCAUGCGGAUUCAUGUCCAGCCUGAUGAAAGGAGAUGCUGUAGGAGUGGCUUGCGUACUAGUCGCUUGUUGGUGGGGUAACGGGCCAACAAGGCGAUGAGAGGUAGCCGGCCUGAGAGGGUGGACGGCCACAAGGGGACGGGGAGGCGGCGCUGACUACUGCGGGAGGCAGCGGUGAAGAAUAUUGGACGAGGGGGGCAACCCUGAUGCAGCGCUUCGGUGUGGACGAUGAAGUUUUUCGGGUAGAAAAGUUCUGUCAGCAACGAAGAAAAAAAUGACGGUACCUGCUGAAGAAGCGACGGCUAACUACGUG
Molecule: ribosomal RNA, 463 nt
Filed under: uncultured bacterium
Lineage: Bacteria
Description: partial 16S ribosomal RNA
Rfam family: Bacterial small subunit ribosomal RNA
Source: RNAcentral